Long non-coding RNA from Pipistrellus kuhlii (Kuhl's pipistrelle), 402 nucleotides. RefSeq lists it as uncharacterized. NCBI's taxonomy places the organism in Eukaryota, Metazoa, Chordata, Mammalia, Chiroptera, Vespertilionidae. The record is from RefSeq and is a predicted model, not a curated record. The transcript is spliced from 2 exons.
UUUGGGCUGUGAAAUGCCCCUCCCCCCCCCAUGGCAACCCCGGACCUUCCUUAGGGACCAUCCCCCUCUCUCCCUCCCUGGGCUCACCCUCCCCUGGGAGCCAGGAUCCAGGAUCCGCAGAAAAAAGCACCUUGGGAGUCUUUUGCCCUCUGCUCUGGCUCCCUCUGGACCCCGGAGAGAGGAGGGGAAGGUGGAGAGGAAAUUGAUUUCUCUCGCACAGACUGAGGCAGCGUAUGAGAGAGGGAAGAAGAAACAUUUGGCCGGGAUGAUGAAAGUGCUGUUGGGCCCUGCAAUCAAGAAAAGAGGCUGAACAUUCACUUAAUUAGGAUGCACCAUUAAUUUCACUGUCUCAAGAACAUACAAAGUCUUUUGCCCCUUUUAAUGAAAAUGACAAGAAACUGA